GCAGCAGUAGGGAAUCUUCCACAAUGGACGAAAGUCUGAUGGAGCAAUACCAUGUGAACGAUGAAGGCCUUUUUGGUUGUAAAGUUCUUUUACGAGGGAUAAUUAUGAUAGUACUUCGUGAAUAAGUGACAGCAAACUAUGUGCCAGCAGCUGCGGUAAUACAUAGGUCGCGAGCAUUAUUCGGAUUUAUUGGGCGUAAAGCAAGCGCAGGCGGAUGUGUAAGUUCUGUGUUAAAUGCAGCUACUCAAUAGUUGUAUGCACCGAAUACUACAUGUCUAGAUUGUGGUAGGGAGUUUCGGAAUUAAGCAUGGAGCGGUGGAAUGUGUAGAUAUGCUUAAGAACACCAGAGGCGAAGGCGGAAACUUAGGCCAUAAAUGACGCUUAGGCUUGAAAGUGUGGGGAGCAAAUGGGAUUAGAUACCCCAGUAGUCCACACCGUAAACGAUGGGUAUUAGAUAUUAGGGCUUUAGCUUUAGUGUUGUAGCUUACGCGUUAAAUACCCCGCCUGGGUAGUACAUAUGCAAAUAUGAAACUCAAAGGAAUUGACGGGGACCUGAACAAGUGGUGGAGCAUGUUGCUUAAUUCGAUAAUACACGAAAAACCUUACCAAGGUUUGACAUCCCUCGCAAAGCUAUAGAAAUAUAGUAGAGGUUAUCGAGGUGACAGGUGGUGCAUGGCUGUCGUCAGCUCGUGUCUUGAGAUGUUUGGUUAAGUCCCGCAACGAGCGCAACCCCACUCUUUAGUUACUUGUCUAAAGAGACUGCACAGUAAUGUAGAGGAAGGAUGGGAUCACGUCAAGUCAUCAUGCCCCUUAUGCCUUGGGCUGCAAACGUGCUACAAUGGCGAACACAAUGUGUUGCAAACCAGCGAUGGUAAGCUAAUCACC
This 885-nucleotide ribosomal RNA is filed under the name uncultured Mycoplasma sp. Its description in RNAcentral is "bacterial SSU rRNA". It matches the Rfam family "Bacterial small subunit ribosomal RNA", at positions 348 to 1276 of the family's 1533-position model. Lineage: Bacteria; Bacillati; Mycoplasmatota; Mollicutes; Mycoplasmatales; Mycoplasmataceae. The record is from RNAcentral.